UACGUAGGGGGCGAGCGUUGUCCGAAGUUACUGGGCGUAAAGCGCGCGUAGGCGGUCCUUUAAGUCUGGUGUGAAAGGUUCAGGGCUCAACCCGAACAGUGCACUGGAUACUGGGGGACUUGAGUGCGGGAGAGGAGAGUGGAAUUCCUGGUGUAGCGGUGAAAUGCGUAGAUAUCAGGAGGAACACCCGUGGCGAAGGCGGCUCUCUGGCCUGCAACUGACGCUGAGGCGCGAAAGCUAGGGGAGCAAACGGG
RNAcentral lists this ribosomal RNA (254 nucleotides) under uncultured bacterium. RNAcentral's name for it is "partial 16S ribosomal RNA". It matches the Rfam family "Bacterial small subunit ribosomal RNA", at positions 524 to 776 of the family's 1533-position model. The record is from RNAcentral.